This 417-nucleotide ribosomal RNA is filed under the name uncultured bacterium. RNAcentral describes it as "bacterial SSU rRNA". It matches the Rfam family "Bacterial small subunit ribosomal RNA", at positions 28 to 419 of the family's 1533-position model. The record is from RNAcentral.
GAUGAACGCUGGCGGCGUGCUUAACACAUGCAAGUCGAGCGAAGCGCUUUACUUUGAUUUCUUCGGAAUGAAGAGUGAUUUGACUGAGCGGCGGACGGGUGAGUAACGCGUGGGCAACCUGCCUCAUACAGGGGGAUAACAGUUAGAAAUGACUGCUAAUACCGCAUAAGACCACAGUACCGCAUGGUAUGGUGGUAAAAACUCCGGUGGUAUGAGAUGGGCCCGCGUCUGAUUAGGUAGUUGGUGGGGUAACGGCCUGCCAAGCCGACGAUCAGUAGCCGACCUGAGAGGGUGACCGGGCCACAUUGGGACUGAGACACGGGCCCCAAAACUCCUACGGGAGGCAGCAGUGGGGGAAUAUUGCACAAUGGGGGAAACCCUGGAUGCAGCGACGCCGCGUGAAGGAUGAAGUAUUUC